Molecule: signal recognition particle RNA, 74 nt
Filed under: Gammaproteobacteria bacterium
Lineage: Bacteria; Pseudomonadati; Pseudomonadota; Gammaproteobacteria
Description: partial signal recognition particle sRNA small type
Rfam family: Bacterial small signal recognition particle RNA
About the family: The signal recognition particle (SRP) is a universally conserved ribonucleoprotein involved in the co-translational targeting of proteins to membranes. Archaeal SRP consists of a 7S RNA and homologues of the eukaryotic SRP19 and SRP54 proteins.
Source: RNAcentral
CGUCGGAUCCCUCGCGACGGCCAGCCGCGAACCCCGCCAGGCCCGGAAGGGAGCAACGGUAGCGGCCACGCCGG